This 75-nucleotide transfer RNA is filed under the name Bifidobacterium callitrichidarum. Its description in RNAcentral is "tRNA-Gly". It matches the Rfam family "tRNA". Rfam says of the family: Transfer RNA (tRNA) molecules are approximately 80 nucleotides in length. Their secondary structure includes four short double-helical elements and three loops (D, anti-codon, and T loops). Further hydrogen bonds mediate the characteristic L-shaped molecular structure. tRNAs have two regions of fundamental functional importance: the anti-codon, which is responsible for specific mRNA codon recognition, and the 3' end, to which the tRNAs corresponding amino acid is attached (by aminoacyl-tRNA synthetases). tRNAs cope with the degeneracy of the genetic code in two manners: having more than one tRNA (with a specific anti-codon) for a particular amino acid; and 'wobble' base-pairing, i.e. permitting non-standard base-pairing at the 3rd anti-codon position. The record is from RNAcentral. Lineage: Bacteria; Bacillati; Actinomycetota; Actinomycetes; Bifidobacteriales; Bifidobacteriaceae.
GCGGAUGUAGUGCACCGGCCAGCACGCAUGCUUCCCAAGCAGGAAAAGCGGGUUCGACUCCCGUCAUCCGCACGA